RNAcentral lists this unclassified non-coding RNA (242 nucleotides) under Hevea brasiliensis (rubber tree). The record is from RNAcentral. Lineage: Eukaryota; Viridiplantae; Streptophyta; Magnoliopsida; Malpighiales; Euphorbiaceae.
AAAAAACCAUGGGUGACGAGUGUUAACGAGCUUAAGCGGAGAGCAAGAUUUGAAAAGCAAGAGAGAAGGGUGGUACGUGAAGUUGCACUGCGGCCACCGGAAAAUGGGCUAUUAGUUGAGAAGUUAAUCCCUGUUGCUCAUCGUGUGUUAGCUUCAAGAGCUCAGUUGUUAGCUUGUGUUUCGAGGAUUUCGGAGGAAAUUCCUAUUUAUUUCUGCAGCUUAUGUACCGAAGUUCAUGUUGG